RNAcentral lists this long non-coding RNA (1494 nucleotides) under Sinocyclocheilus grahami. Its description in RNAcentral is "lncRNA (ENSSGRG00000008848.1)". Lineage: Eukaryota; Metazoa; Chordata; Actinopteri; Cypriniformes; Cyprinidae. The record is from RNAcentral.
UCAAUGGAUUACGUGAACGAGAAUGAUUCGUUCACCAAAAAGAUUCGUUCAAAAAGAACGAUUCGUUCACGAACGUAACAACACUACUGAAGCCAUAACACGACGUUCACUCACCCCGAAUAUUUUGGGCUCCUUUUUGUUUGUCUUGUAGCUUUUCCUCUACCAGAGUUGGGCUAGUGUUCACUGCCAGGUCCGUCGACACGGUCAAAGCCAUCCUUCGUUUUCAACUCUCUGUUCCCGUCAGUCACGAGCUUUCUAGGAUUCUCACAUUCGAGUACCUAAAUCGAGUUUUAGCUGGGUUUUCAAGACGUCAAGCAACCAAAUGCCUUCUGCUGACUCGGAUCCUCCCAAAUUCCAUCGCCUGUUCAAGUUUUAUGACCCUGAAGUGGUGGCAGUAAGUGGAUGUGGACCAAAUAAUUUGUCAUUAAGGAAGACAGAUAAUGCUUAUGGCAAUAUUACUAGGUUUGUUCCAGCUCCUCCUGACUAUACCAACCUACAACAUCAGCAUUGAUAUAAAAUAUUUGUUUGUGUGCCCCCUCUGUGUUGGUUCUGUGUCUGUGAUUGCUGGAUCAUUUGGUUUGGCAUCUGAAAGAACUCCUAAGAGAGAACUGUUAAAAAACUCUCUGAUCUUUGGUCUUGCUGGCCUGGUGGGGACACUGAUUGGUCUUAUUCUGUAUGCUUAUGCUGCAAAUACGUCUCUGGACAUCCCUCCUUGCUCACUUGAAUCCCAUGAAGACGAUGCUUGUCCACAAACAAUCUUUCAAAGUUUUUACAAAGUGAUCUCUGGGCAGCUGUUGCUUUGUGAUAUAGCAGCUCUGGUUCUUCAUUGUUUCCUAUCAUUUUCUGCAUUUAAAGGACUGAGAAUACACUAAGAUUGCAUUAUCCAUACACCUUCUCUUUUAGGCACAGAUUUUUUACGAGCAUUUAAUCUUUAUAUUUAAAUUAGUAUUUUGUCUCUAAAUCAUAAUCAUUGCUAUUGUUUUUCUAUCUUUGUUUUUUUUUCCUUAAAAUUGUGAAUUUACAAUAUUGUCAUGUACAAAACACAUAUUUGGAAGUCUUUGUGAAACUGGAGGCAUUAACUUACACUGUAAACAUUUUACCUGCUAUUACUGAACAUGUAAGAUUAUUUGCUACAUUAUUAUUAUUAUUAAGUAAAAAAAAUGGUGUCAAAGUUACAACCUUGAUGAUGGUAUUUUCGACCACUUUGUUUCAUUAGCCAUGAAAUCAUUUCUAUGAAACGAUCAAUGAAACUCUGAAAGCUCAUAAAAUCACAAAUUACUUUGACAAAUGAAAUGGAUAUAAUCAAAUAUGUAAAAUAAAUGAUGAAAAUGUAUAGUUUUUAAGUGCCUGUAAUUCCAAACGCUAAAUUAAUGUUCUACUAUACUACUCUUUAGUGCUUAUAUUUGUAAAGUUGUAAGACAAUUCUUUCUGCAAUAUUAAACUUCUAUAUAAAAAAAAAUUAUGUUGCCUUUCUGGUGAAAUAUUAGGACCAAC